This 468-nucleotide ribosomal RNA is filed under the name uncultured bacterium. RNAcentral's name for it is "partial 16S ribosomal RNA". It matches the Rfam family "Bacterial small subunit ribosomal RNA", at positions 28 to 507 of the family's 1533-position model. The record is from RNAcentral.
GACGAACGCUGGCGGCGUGCUUAACACAUGCAAGUCGAACGGAAAGGCCCUGCUUUUGUGGGGUUCUCGAGUGGCGAACGGGUGAGUAACACGUGAGUAACCUGCCCUGGACUUUGGGAUAACUUCAGGAAACUGGGGCUAAUACCGGAUAGGAGCUCCUGCUGCAUGGUGGGGGUUGGAAAGUUUCGGCGGUUGGGGAUGGACUCGCGGCUUAUCAGCUUGUUGGUGGGGUAGUGGCUUACCAAGGCUUUGACGGGUAGCCGGCCUGAGAGGGUGACCGGCCACAUUGGGACUGAGAUACGGCCCAGACUCCUACGGGAGGCAGCAGUGGGGAAUAUUGCACAAUGGGCGGAAGCCUGAUGAAGCAACGCCGCGUGCGGGAUGACGGCCUUCGGGUUGUAAACCGCUUUCGCCUGUGACGAAGCGUGAGUGACGGUAAUGGGUAAAGAAGCACCGGCUAACUACGUG